This 487-nucleotide long non-coding RNA is filed under the name Vitis vinifera (wine grape). RNAcentral describes it as "long non-coding RNA (VVIN_LNC001653)". Lineage: Eukaryota; Viridiplantae; Streptophyta; Magnoliopsida; Vitales; Vitaceae. The record is from RNAcentral.
UCUCUCCUGUUUCUGCAUUUAGAAAUUCACAAUAUGAUAUUAGUAUACUUGUCUGGAAGGUAAAAGCCAAUGUAGCCUCUAGGGUCUAUAUAUGGAAUACUGAAACUGCAAAUGGAUUAAAUAAAAUAUUAAAGAAAGAGAAAAUUGGAGCUGGAACUGUCAAGCACGCAUGUGACUAACCAUUGAAAAUGUCCCUUUCUGGGGGCCUUUUUCAUUGGAUGUUCAUAUACAUAAUUGAGGGGGUAAAAAUUAGAACAUCAUUGUGGUUGGAUGCUGAGAAUCUUUGGCAUUUUCCUUUGGUUGCUGAUUUGGGCCGUAACUGCCUUUCACUACACAGUGGAAAACUUGAGUAAAACACUGUUAAUUCUUAGUCUUCACCACUAUUCACUGCCUUUGCUUUAUAACUGAAACAGUGGGUAUGAAUCAAGUCAAUUGGCUUUGGCUUUAUCUAUUGAUUUUCAUUUGUUGGUUUUGGGUACUUUUGUAG